This is a long non-coding RNA of Pipra filicauda (Wire-tailed manakin), 404 nucleotides long. RefSeq lists it as uncharacterized. The record is from RefSeq and is a predicted model, not a curated record. Lineage: Eukaryota; Metazoa; Chordata; Aves; Passeriformes; Pipridae. The transcript is spliced from 2 exons.
CAGGAGAUUCUCCUGACAACCUACAAGCAGUAGCAGUUUUCAUACCCUCAGCUGAUUUAAAAGAAGUGUCCUCCUCUUGAACCAACUCUCCAGGGAGCAUGAAAAGUGAUUUAGUUUCCAAGAAAGCAGCGUGUCCCUUCUGGAAUGUAUCCUGAAAGCACACAGGCUGCCUUGCCCACCCUCUGCUGUCCAUAUCCUCUCUGCAGACAUGCCUGGCUGCACUUCUUUGCAGGGCAACAGGACUAAAGGCAGAGAAGGGAGGUCUCCAGUUCAGUGGCAGUGUUGCAUAUCAAGGAGCAGCUCACAUACCCCCUGGGCAGCAAGUUAAUGCCAAUUGAUUCAGCAGAUGGAAACAGCCUCUCAGUCCUAGCAAGAAUAAAAUUAUUUUUUGUUUUUACAACAUA